Molecule: signal recognition particle RNA, 340 nt
Filed under: Aotus nancymaae (Ma's night monkey)
Lineage: Eukaryota; Metazoa; Chordata; Mammalia; Primates; Aotidae
Description: Metazoan signal recognition particle RNA (ENSANAG00000002485.1)
Rfam family: Metazoan signal recognition particle RNA
About the family: The signal recognition particle (SRP) is a universally conserved ribonucleoprotein. It is involved in the co-translational targeting of proteins to membranes. The eukaryotic SRP consists of a 300-nucleotide 7S RNA and six proteins: SRPs 72, 68, 54, 19, 14, and 9.
Source: RNAcentral
GCUAGGAGUAAUAGCACAUACCUGUAGUCCCAUCUACUUGGGAGGCUGAGGCAGGAGGAUCACUUGAGCCCAGGAGUAUGAGACCAGCUUGUGCAACAUAGGGAAACUCCUGUCUCUACAAAAAAUUAAAAAAUUAGCUGGGUGUGGUGGUGCACACCUGUGGUCAGCAUCAAUAUGGUGACUUCCCAGGAGUGAGGGGUCCAUCAGGCUGCCUAAGGUGGGGUAAACCGGCCCAGGUCAGAAAGGGAGCAGGUCAAACUCCCGCGCUGGUUAGUAGUGGGAUCGUACCUGUGAAUAACACUGCACUCCAGCCUGGGCAAUAUAGCAACAACCUGUCUUA